AGGCAUGGCCGCAGCCUACACAUGCAGUCGAGCGGUAACAGAUCCAGCUUGCUGGAUGCUGACGAGCGGCGGACGGGUGAGUAAUGCAUAGGAAUUUACCCGAUAGUGGGGGAUAACCUGGGGAAACCCAGGCUAAUACCGCAUACGUCCUACGGGAGAAAGGGGGCCUUGGCUCCCGCUAUCGGAUGAGCCUAUGCCGGAUUAGCUGGUUGGUGAGGUAAUGGCUCACCAAGGCGACGAUCCGUAGCUGGUCUGAGAGGAUGAUCAGCCACAUCGGGACUGAGACACGGCCCGAACUCCUACGGGAGGCAGCAGUGGGGAAUAUUGGACAAUGGGCGCAAGCCUGAUCCAGCCAUGCCGCGUGUGUGAAGAAGGCCCUCGGGUUGUAAAGCACUUUCAGCGAGGAAGAACGCCUGGCGGUUAAUACCCGCCAGGAAAGACAUCACUCGCAGAAGAAGCACCGGCUAACUCCGUGCCAGCAGCCGCGGUAAUACGGAGGGUGCAAGCGUUAAUCGGAAUUACUGGGCGUAAAGCGCGCGUAGGUGGCUUGAUAAGCCGGUUGUGAAAGCCCCGGGCUCAACCUGGGAACGGCAUCCGGAACUGUCAGGCUAGAGUGCAGGAGAGGAAGGUAGAAUUCCCGGUGUAGCGGUGAAAUGCGUAGAGAUCGGGAGGAAUACCAGUGGCGAAGGCGGCCUUCUGGACUGACACUGACACUGAGGUGCGAAAGCGUGGGUAGCAAACAGGAUUAGAUACCCUGGUAGUCCACGCCGUAAACGAUGUCGACCAGCCCGUUGGGUGCCUAGCGCACUUUUGUGGCGAAGUUAACGCGAUAAGUCGACCGCCUGGGGGAGUACGGCCGCAAGGUUAAAACUCAAAUGAAUUGACGGGGGCCCGCACAAGCGGUGGGAGCAUGUGGUUUAAUUCGAUGCAACGCGAAGAACCUUUACCUACUCUUGACAUUCCUGCCGAACUUGUGAGAGAUCACUUUGGUUGUCUUCCGGGAACGCAAAGACAGUGCCUGCAUGGCUGUCUUCAGCUCGUGUUGGUGAAAUGUUUGGGUUAAGUCCCCGUAACGAACGCCACCCUUGUUCCUUUUUGGCCUCACUCUAUGGUGGGGAACUCUAGGAAACACGCCCGGGUGAAUACCGGGAGGAAGGGUGGGGA
Molecule: ribosomal RNA, 1164 nt
Filed under: Halomonas sp. HL22
Lineage: Bacteria; Pseudomonadati; Pseudomonadota; Gammaproteobacteria; Oceanospirillales; Halomonadaceae
Description: bacterial SSU rRNA
Rfam family: Bacterial small subunit ribosomal RNA
Source: RNAcentral